Molecule: ribosomal RNA, 165 nt
Filed under: Alyssum flexicaule
Lineage: Eukaryota; Viridiplantae; Streptophyta; Magnoliopsida; Brassicales; Brassicaceae
Also listed under: 1 other name
Description: 5.8S ribosomal RNA
Rfam family: 5.8S ribosomal RNA
About the family: 5.8S ribosomal RNA (5.8S rRNA) is a component of the large subunit of the eukaryotic ribosome.
Source: RNAcentral
AAAACGACUCUCGGCAACGGAUAUCUCGGCUCUCGCAUCGAUGAAGAACGUAGCGAAAUGCGAUACUUGGUGUGAAUUGCAGAAUCCCGUGAACCAUCGAGUCUUUGAACGCAAGUUGCGCCUUAAGCCUUCUGGCCGAGGGCACGUCUGCCUGGGUGUCACAAA